UUGUUGACCUCAAUGUUUCAGUUUCUCUACAGUGGAAAGUCAUUUUUGCCCAUGUUGGCCUCGCGUUUUUCAUUAUUCAUCUCUGUACUUCGACCGUGCCUUCUUGUUCGCUUUACCUUUUGCUUCAUCUGUGCUUUUCAUGUCUUCCUUUCGCCCUCUGUUUUUCUUGAAUCCUCUAUUGCUCUCGAAUCUUUCGUUCCUUAUUUCAUAAAAUAUUCACCAAACAGAACCUGAUUUUCGUUUUUAAGGGAUUUUGUUUGCGCUCUCCGUUUUGAGGGAAGUUGUGUUCCUCUGUAAAGCUAGCUGUAGAACUAGGGUUCUGGGAGUUUUGUGGAAAGUCAUAAAAUUCGUUUCUAGGGUUCUUAAACUUGCAAUUGGCGGGCCAAAACUUCAUAGUAUUUGUUUCUUUUGCCGUUUGGGAUUCCGGAGUUGUCGCUGGAUUUCUGGCGAAUCUGUAGCGCGGUUUGGGAGCGGGCUGUCUUCAGAUCAUUGUGAAACAAAUUUUAUGGAAUUCAGUUCAUAAAUCUCAGAUUUGGCAGCAAUUGGAACACCACUGUUAUUUUUUGGGUAUGUUAUAUGUCCUUCCAUUUUUUUAUUUAUACUGUUAGUGUAGGAACCCAUCUGUUGGGUGAAGUGGUAGGUCUAAAAAUGGAUAUCAUCCAGUGGAAGAACCCAUAUGUGGUGUUUAUUUUUAGACAAGAUGGGAAGAUGUAAACAGUUGGAGGUCCAUACCAUUUUCCAAGUUCUUUGUUAAUGUGAAUGUUUAUGUUAUUCUGAUUCGAUUUGUAAACAAAUAAUUGCUUUCAAAA
This is a non-coding RNA of Malus domestica (apple), 809 nucleotides long. The record is from RefSeq and is a predicted model, not a curated record. Lineage: Eukaryota; Viridiplantae; Streptophyta; Magnoliopsida; Rosales; Rosaceae.